This is an RNA transcript of Populus trichocarpa (black cottonwood), 2557 nucleotides long. It is a transcript of the gene named glucan endo-1,3-beta-glucosidase 5, with no coding region annotated. NCBI's taxonomy places the organism in Eukaryota, Viridiplantae, Streptophyta, Magnoliopsida, Malpighiales, Salicaceae. The transcript is spliced from 4 exons. The record is from RefSeq and is a predicted model, not a curated record.
GGGGGUUAUCAGUUGUCACUCUUUACCCGCUCACCACAGAAACCGUUUCAAGUUUCCUAUAUCUGUCCCAUUACAUCUCCCUCUCUCCCCCCCUCAAUGAAUGGUAUUGAAGGAAACCCUUAGAGCUCUCUCCUUUCUUGGACGAACAAAAUGUCAAGAUUGUCAGGAACUCUGCUUUGUCUUGUGCUAGCAAUCAUACUACUAUCAGGGUCAUUUCCAGUGGGAGAAUCAGCAAUAGGAGUCAACUGGGGGACAAUCUCAUUUCACAGGUUGAAGCCCUCAACUGUGGUGGAUCUGUUGAAAGACAACAAGAUAAAGAGAGUGAAGUUGUUCGAUGCAGACCCAGGUUCGCUUACUGCUUUAAUGGGGAGUGGGAUUGAAGUCAUGGUUGGGAUUCCUAAUGAGAUGUUGGCUGCUCUUAGCUCUUCAACUGAUGCUUCUGAUUUGUGGGUUAGGCAAAAUGUGUCUAGAUAUGUUGUUAAAGGUGGUGCUGAUAUAAGGUACGUUGCUGUAGGAAAUGAACCAUUCCUCACAAGUUAUUCAGGUCAAUUUCAAUCUUUUGUUGUCCCUGCUCUGCUCAAUCUACAACAGUCUCUGGUGAAAGCAAAUCUAGCUGGUUAUGUAAAGCUAGUAGUUCCUUGCAAUGCUGAUGCUUAUGAGUCUUCUCUUCCUUCUCAAGGGGCAUUCCGACCUGAACUAACUCAGAUUAUGACUCAACUUGUGUCCUUCCUCAACUCAAACGGCUCACCUUUUGUUGUGAAUAUCUACCCGUUUCUUAGCCUUUAUGGGAACUCAGAUUUUCCACAAGACUAUGCAUUCUUUGAGGGGAGUACCCAUCCUGUUACAGAUGGGUCUAAUGUCUACUACAAUGCUUUUGAUGGGAAUUUCGACACUUUAGUUGCAGCGCUCAACAAACUUGGAUAUGGUCAAAUGCCCAUUGUUAUUGGCGAGGUGGGUUGGCCAACUGAUGGAGCCAUUGGCGCCAACCUCACUGCAGCAAGGGUUUUCAACCAGGGACUUAUAAAACAUGUAUUGAGUAACAAAGGAACCCCUCUGAGACCAGAUGCCCCUCCCAUGGAUAUUUAUCUUUUCGCUCUGCUUGAUGAAGGAGCAAAGAGUGUACUCCCAGGAAACUUUGAAAGACACUGGGGGAUUUUCUCGUUUGAUGGCCAGGCUAAAUAUGCACUGAACCUUGGUUUGGGUAACAAGUUACUGAAGAAUGCAAAGAAUGUCGAGUAUCUCCCAUCAAGGUGGUGUGUGGCAGACCCCUCAAAAGAUCUAACAAGUGUAGCCAACCACCUGAGAAUAGCCUGCAGUGCUGCUGAUUGCACAACACUUAAUUAUGGCGGAUCUUGCAAUGAAAUUGGGGCAAAAGGAAACAUCUCAUAUGCAUUCAACAGUUACUAUCAGCUCCAGAUGCAAAAUGCACAAAGCUGUGAUUUCGAUGGGCUUGGUAUGGUGACAUUCCUAGACCCAUCAGUUGGUGAUUGCAGGUUCCCUGUUGGAGUGAAUGAUCAUAAGAGUUCAUUAGCUUUCAGAUCAUGUCGUAGGUGGACCACCAUUUGGACUUCUAUCCUAGGGGGGGUGUGGUUCUUUCUAAUGUUAUGAGAAGUUUCUUUGCAUGAGUUUUUCUCACCCCCCCUGUUCAAGAACUAUAAGCAGUCUUGCACAUAGACAAGAGAAUACAGUUAUUUAGGCAUGUCAAGUUUAGUAGAAAUUCCCAUUGCAUCAGGGCUUUUGCUGCAUGUUUGUCUGCAGCAGCAGCGCCAACCUUCAAAUAAACAUGAAUGAUGCUUACCUCGUGAGUACAACAAGAUCAAAAGUAAACAGAAUCAACAAUAAACCAUGAGCAGGCAUAAUAUAUUUAGUUUACCUCGAGGAUAAUACACUGCAAAGGUAAAUCCUUUUAUUACAGGAUACUGAUAAAAUUACAAAUGCCGGAGCCCUCUCGUUUAUAAUAAGAAGAAGAGUAUUGAAGAACUUCUGCAACUUGCAGAAUGAUGCUCCAAUACUCCAAUUAUUUGCAGCUUAUAGUAUAAUUUAUUUUGGUCUGCAACACAAGAUUUACACACACACACACACACACACACACACACACACAAGCACAUAGAUUAUGCCACAUUCACGCCUUAUUGUUUUUUAUGUUCCGAUGCAGCAGUUCUCUCCUCUAAUGCUAGUGCAGCAUACUUUUCCACAGCGCAUGUUUGGUAUCCUUCCGACAAAGAAGCAGCAGCGACAACCUUCAAAUAAUCAAGAAUUACAUUAGUGGAAAAGCAAUCAACCAUGAAGGAUAAGCAAGCAUGGUGAAUUUAAAUUACCUUGAGGAUAAUACACUUUCUCGGAUGCCAGCAUACGAGGACCUUCAGUUGCAUGUGCACAAAUGGUGAAGGAUGCCACCAAGAGGAGGCUAGCCAUGAAAGCCACAGAUACAGUUUCCUUUCUCACCAUCUUUGCUUGCACAAUAUAUAGUUUGUAUCAAAGAAAAAUAUACAUGUAAUUUUGGAAUGAGAAGCCUUGUUUAUAACAUCCUAUUUAUACCACAAAUUUGCAUAUACUU